This 3126-nucleotide long non-coding RNA is filed under the name Homo sapiens (human). RNAcentral's name for it is "HSALNT0358455". The record is from RNAcentral. Lineage: Eukaryota; Metazoa; Chordata; Mammalia; Primates; Hominidae.
ACACACAGCUAGCUCUUCAGGCCAGGCCCCCAGGGUUUCGUCCACCUCUCACCUUUGACGACGCGGUCAGCCCCGGGAGGGGGCGGCGGGGGCGGGGGUGGGGGCGGUGCAGCCCGGGCCGGCUCCGGGGCGGCCAUGCUGGGCCCGGGGCUCGGCUAGGCUCUGGGCCGGGCGGGGUUGGGGGCGGGGGCGGCGGCUACCAGAGCCAAGCGGCGGCGCCGCCGGGGAACAUGGCGGACCCUCUUUCCCUACAGAGGGGCUAAGACCGGCAUGCACUGCGCGUGCGGGGGUGGGGGCGGGGUAGGCUCUAGGGACUUGGGCAAAAUUACUGAAGCUAGGAGAGAAACAGGACGAGGCCAAGGGAUCAGGUUAAAAUUCUUUGCAUGCAGAAUGAAGAAUGAGGAGGUGCUGCGAUCGAACGACUGCGAGGAAACACACCCGCUCUCAUGGCAUUCCCAGUAAACUGAGAAGACGUGAUUAAACCUCAGGAUCUCCUACUAAUAGAGAAAUGUAUAACGAUUUAGCUACCAGAUCUGAAUACUGAAGGGUUGGUAGGGGACCAGAGAAUAGAGGAAGCAUUGUAGGUUCUAGAGUGGAGAAGGGACCAUCCAAAAUGGAGUUUGAAAGAGAAUUCUGGCCUUUGUGUUUAGAGUCUGGAAUUGUCAAGAGUCUGAAAGCACAGAAUAAGACUGCAGCUAGAGCAAUUUAGGCGCCAUAGUUUGUCAAAACAGGUAAGGGGAAUAAAGGGGAUGACACCAAGAGAUGUGCAAAGAAUCUGAAGAAUUCACCUGAAAAGGAUACAACCUCCUCCUGGAAGGCAGAGGAGUAAAUAGGGAAUUGGAAAUUAAUUCCUUAUUUCUGCACAUGCACAGAAUCUGGGCCCAGGUGACUUAUGGAACCUUUAUAGAGACCACGGUGACUGACACUCAUGGGAAAGGGGGUAGAGGGGCAAGAACUGACUGUUCAUCAAAAAUUAUUAGAUGAGUGUGUCCACGACACCAGGAGAUAUGUUGAAUCAUGGACAGGGACCAGCAUAUCCACUAAGCUCUAUAUAUCUUGAUGGUGCAGGAUCCAAGUGGGAUGGAACAACCAAUUCCUGCCCAUCCUCCUGCUCAAUAAUACAUGUGCUCAGAAUCUGUUCAUAAUGCAUGGUGGUAAGUAAGUAGUAGUCCGAAGGUCCAAGGAGUACCUUUCUACCUCUUCUUUGUGUCAAUUUCUAUCCUGAGACCCCAGGAAAAGAGGAAGGGAAAGACCCAACAAUGGAUUUUUUCCAAAAAGGGAACCCACAAGCUAUUUUUUAGAGGGAAGAGUCUCGGGAGUGAGGCACAGGUGAAAAUGGAUCUUUCUGGCAUGGAAGGGCCAUAACACCACAGGGGAAGGGAAAGGGAGAGGCCCCCACGGAAGGAGAGGAAGGAAGGGACAGGAGGCACGUCACAAACUUAUAAGAUAGAGGGAAGGCACCUGGAGUACAUUGAUCAGGAGUGAGUCUGUAAGAAGAGCUUGAAUCCCCAGAAAAUCUUCCUAAGGAGGGGAGGAAGGAAGUGUAUAAUGUACUGAGUACUGAAUGCUCUGUCAGGAAAGGGAUGGGAAACAUCCUAGCAGCAAUACUAGAAAGGAAAGGCACCCUAUUUUAGGACCCAUUGAUUCCCACCUUGAUUGUAUAUCCUUCAACUCGUCUCUGGCUCCUCACUUCCACUCAGUCAAAAGCCACUUCAUAUAUUUAUCCAGACUUCCAGCCCCAAUACAAAGAAAGCAAGAGCAUACAAAGGGAAGAAUGACAAGGAAUUAAAUAGAACUGUCUUAUAGAUUUAUUAAUGAAAAAUACUUUACAAAAACAGUAUGUUUGGCCUAAAAUAGUUCAGCUGACUCUGAGGGUUUACAUUGACGACUGAGCAAGUGGCAAUAAUGGCUGUGUUAUUGAGGACAGAAGGCUGUGUUAGUGUGCCUGACUCCAUCUGUUCAAAAGGGUGAAUGUUAUGUUGGCAGCUCCGCAUUCUAGGCCUAAGGUUUGGAGGGCACAGGGAAUGCUGACAGGCCAUAAUACCUGGGCAGGGGGGCUGCCCUGAUGAUGUCAUCAGAACCAUGACCACAGGGCUACAUGUCCCCCCAAGGAUGGGAGACAGGGAAGACAAAGGGUCAGGUAAUAGGGAUAGGUGGAUAAAACAAAGAGUAGAAGUUGGGAGUAUAGUAGGGAACAGAGGAUGAGGGCUCAGGUGGAGGUGGGGACAUAAAGCAUCCAGGAAUAAAAUGUGACCUUAAAAUCCUAAGGAAUGGCUAGUAUCCAGAGUAAUACCAUGGAUUCAUCUUUAAAGUGGCUCAGAUAAAACCCUUAAACAGCAGCUGCUUCCUUUUGCUAGGGGGAAUGGAAGUUGGAAUUUCAAAUAUCCCCUCCCAAAGAAUCACAUCUUUUUAGAGGUUCCUGACACCCUUAGGAGAACCCACCAAUUCUAUGUUGAGAUGAGAAUAGCACAACCAUGGCAGUGAUGCAGGGUACCAACGCUGCCACAGUAGUUUAUUUUGUUGUUGUUUUGUUUUGUUUUUUGAGAUGGAGUCUCACUCUAUUGCCAAGCUGGAGUGCAGUGGUGCGAUCUCGGCUCACUGCAACCUCUGCCUCCCGGGUUCAAGCAAUUCUCCUGCCUCAGCCUUCCGAGUAGUUGGGACUACAGGCACGCACCGUCACGCCUGGCUAAUUUUUUGUAUUUUGGUAGAGACGGGGUUUCACCAUGUUGGCCAGGAUGGUCUCAAUCUCCUGACCUCGUGAUCCACCCGCCUCAGCCUCCCAAAGUGCUGGGAUUACAGGUGUGAGCCACCGCGCCCGGCCCACAGUACAGUUUUACAAAGAAAGGUGUAGCUCCAGGAAAGGAAAGGAAUAACCUUUACCAUUGACUGUGCUGCAGGACUCUAGCCCUGAUCUGCUCUCUUCUGGGAGCAUCUGAUAGAACAAACAGAAACCCCUCUCCCACUGUUCUCCUGUGUCCAGAGUGGGAGGCAUAACUGCUUUGCCUCCAGUCAUCAUCUGGGGGCAUAUCUACUCUUCGAGGACCAGGGGUUCGGGACCCUGGAACAGGAUCUGAAUUCCAAGCUGACCUCAGGGGUACAUGAAGACUGCUAGAUGAGACGGGAUCU